AGGGGCGGGGUGCACAGCGCGCAUGCGCCUCAGCGCCGCGCUGCGUCUCUGCUGCCGCUCGAGUGAGGGGCGCGGAGCGGGUGCUCCCGCUGGGGCCGCUGCGGACAUGGGCCCACCGUACCGCCCGCUCGCCCUCGGUCCGGGCCUCCUGCUGGCGUUGGUGCUGUCGUGGUUCGGUGGAACACGGGCUCAGGGCACAUGUGCAUCUCCAGAUAGGCUGCAAUAUGCAGAGCUCAAGGAUAGUUUCAGCGCAAUGAGCAGCUUUCCUGUUGGAACGACAGUGUCGUACAUCUGCCGGCCAGGGUAUAUGGCAGUCCCUGGAAAAUCAUCAACUCGUACGUGUGGUGAAGACUUGCAGUGGUCGCCCGUAGAGCGGUUCUGUACAGAGAGAAAAUGUAACUAUCCAGGAGAACUAGAACAUGGUUUUGUUCAUGUGACAGAUCUUACAUUUGGUUCAAAAGCUACUUUUUCUUGCAAAGAAGGGUUCAGAUUACGUGGCACUGGUGAAAUUUCCUGUAUAAUUAAGGAUAAAGGUGUUGACUGGAGUAGAGAUCUUCCUUUCUGUGAAAGAAUCCCUUGUGAACCACCUCCAAGUAUAGCCAAUGGGCGCUACACUGAAGCAGCUAACUAUGUCUAUGAAACAGCGGUAACCUAUACGUGUGACGAUGUACCAAAAGGCGCGGAUCCCUUCUCACUAAUUGGCCCAGCUACUAUUUUCUGCACGUAUGAUGCCCACUCAAAUGGUGUUUGGAGUGAACCACCUCCGCAAUGUAAAGUGGUCAAAUGUGAUAACCCGAAGGUUGAAAAUGGGAGAAAAAUAUCUGGAUUUGCACCUUCCUAUAACUAUAGGGAGUCCGUUGUAUUUGAGUGUGACCCAGGCUAUUUCAUGAUUGGUUCGCGUAUUGUUAGCUGUGGAGAAAAUAACACCUGGUUUCCUCCAAAACCAACUUGUGAAAAAAUUACUGCAGAUGCAUGUGGUGCCCCAAACAUCACACAUGGAGUAGUGAUUCCAGCGAAAUCUGUGUAUGAAGGAGAAGAGUCUGUUCAGAUAAAGUGCAAUAAGCACUGCACUUUUCCUGAUGGCACUGAAGAGAUGACCAUAACUUGUCGAGGAGGGAAUACAUGGUCAUCUUUACAAAACUGUGCAUGUGGGCCUAAAACUUCUGGUUUCACUCCACACAUAAGUUAUGGUAGAGUAAUUGAUGGACAAAAACCUUCAUAUUCUGUUGGGGAUUUUAUUACGAUUGAAUGUUAUGCAGGCUACACAUUACGUGGUGAAGCUCGUAUUCAGUAUAUCGGAGAAAACCAAUGGAUUCCUGGAGUGCCAACUUGCCAGUUAAGUCCUUAUAUUACGGCCAUCAUCUGUGUGAUUGUGGCAGUUGUGGUGUGCCUGGCAGCCUUCUGGGUCUAUAAGAAAUUCUUUUCACAAAAUGGCUUGUGCCCUCAUCAGCUCAACUCCAUACAGCGCAGACAGGAACCAACAGCAAAAUCGGACUGCGUCACAGAUGUAACAUGACCAUCGGCAAAACAAGUGCAGAAAGAGACCGUGGCUGUCUCGCCAGUCAGAGCGCCUGCCUUCGAUAUCAAAGAAGAAGAAGAUGGUAAUGCUUUUAAAUUUAUGUUGUGAGCAUUUGCAAUCCUUAACUUCCUUUACCAAAUUUUGCGGUCCUUGAACAGUCAAAACUCCCAAGAAAAUUGCAUGUAUUUUGCCAACAGACCCAGCGCAUUAACGAACACUGCGUCAUAAUGCCGCACUAAGGCUGGGAGGGAUAAUGAACCCCACUUUACAAAGGAAGGAAACCAAAAUACAGAAAAAUGAAUCCGCUUACGCAAUGUCACACACCCAAGUGUCAAAGGGAGGAAGAAAUUACAGCUUUCCCAGGUCCUUUUGCAGCAGUACACACAAAACCAUUAUGGAACAGUUAGCCAUGUACAGCUAACGUACAGUAACAAUACGGUCCCUACGCGCAAAAUCGCUGCCGUCCUACAGAAAUAUGCCGUGUCCCCUUCUUCACCUUGUUUCUUGCCAGUCCCACAGAUUUACCUGCUGACAGUAACCUCAAUUCCUGGGUAAUGAGAUAUACAGCCGAAGUUUAACAUUGAAAUAACUCCUUUUUUAGCUCUGUCUCCUUACCCUCCCUGCAUUUAGUCACAAUUAAACUACCACUGUGGCAAAAAGAUGGUAACGAAAGGAAUAAAAACAAACGCAUUCCUACGCUGAAUGCGGAUACUCUGAAAGUACGCAUAUGCCUGAACAAGUAUACCGGCUGCUAGUUGCAGCUCCUUCCAGAGGACUGAGAAAUGACAUUAAGAAGCACUAGCUUUGCAAAUUAAUGAGGUCCUCCGCCCCACAGCCAUGACAAGGAAAACCGCACAGCGUUGUCCGUUCAGACAGCACUCCGUAAAACAGGCUCAACCCACCCGUCUUCCACGCAACCGAGCAUCGUUUCUUAGUCCAUCUCCUGGCUGUCCAGCAUUACCUCUGCGGCUGCCUGGUACUGUUCCUAUCUGUGUGUGUAUUUAUGCCUGUCCGUCUUGCUGCAGGGACCACCGUUGUUGCUGCUAUUCCUGUUGUUCCCCUGCUCUGCGGAACUGGCGCUGCAGGAGGCAAGGAUGCUCCAAGGGAGCCAGCUACAGCCAGCGAAGGCUCAGUGAGUCAGGAGGGGUUGUGACGACUGCAGUAAGAGUCUGAAAUUCCCUAUGGAAUCUGGCAGAAAAGGAGGGGAGGCAAGAAAGGUGGAGAUGGGAAAGCAGAAAAAAAGUGGGGAGUGGCACCUACUGUCUGUUUUCUUCUUCCCUCCCUGUUCCUAGCACCGCACUGCCGUGGGAAAUGGCAUCCUCUCCUCUACGGUACUGCGCAAAGGAACGGAGUUGGGGAUAAAACCGCAGCGCGUACGGCCUUUGUAACCGAACAACCAAAAUUCGGUCGGGGUAGGUGUCUAUGCGUAAAUACAGCCUUUCUCUCUCUCCCUCUCUCUCAGACUGCCGUCGGGAGGACAGGCUGCUGCUGAAGUAAUGGAGACGGUGGACGCAGAAUGUUUGAGUCGGUUCUGAACCCAGCGGUUGUUGCUAAACAACCGGACCUGACGCUUGAGAUGUCAGCAACGUCUGAAGAGCCUGAGCUAUUUUGGGAUUUGUCUGUACUACACUGAAAAUGACACCUGUUACGCACAGACACAAAUGAGAAGAAUUGCAAGCUCCCGGUUUCGCAGAUACGAUUCUACCAAAAAAAAAAAAGAGGAAGAUCCUAUGAGCUAGGGACCUGGGGAGCAGCACAGGCGCUCAGUGUGGGGUGAAGGGGAUGACCCUUGCGAAUUGAACAGACGCCAGUACAAAAAAUGCAAAAGGUCUGUUGUAGCUGAUGCAAGGGGAAAUCAAACCUCCCUGUGACCAAAAGAAAUAGUGCUUGAUCAACUAAAUGCCACAAGACAUGGUUUCUUAUGCAAUCAAACCCACGGGACUUCAAGCCUUACAUAUACGCUUUGUGGCCAAAGCUGCAAGCAUUAACUACUUCAGUUAAUGAAGGUAAAAUUGUAAGAGCACUACGGCUACUUAAAUGAGUCACUCAGCAGUGAUACUCGCUAAAGUAGGCCAGCGUUUUAUGUGAUGUUAAGCUGUCUGUGCUGGUUUCAGUUACCCCUGAGUUAUCUCAGAAGCUCCACCAACGUGCAGGGUCAGGGCAGAUUUUCCACAUUCCCCGUUUUCCCCAUCGACGUGUGGCUGAUUUACAACUCGCUGGCACUGUGCAGACGAGACAGAGACCAUCCUGCUGCACCUGUGAGACCCAGCGAAGCUCUGAACAUGAUUGUGUACGGCACUGGAGCAAGAUAAAAGACUCGGAGCCUCAGAAAUGGGACAGUUGACUGGUGCUUUUAGCUCACAGCAAUUUUGUCAGUCUUGUGGUAUAGUAAGAAAGUAAAAUGGAGCUUUGAUUUAUUUCAAAUUAUAUCUUUUUCGUUGCUUUCAGGGGAAAGGCAGUAUUUAUUUUAUGGUUUACUUUCAUUUGAAAAUCACUGGCCAUGGAACAUUUCUACCUUUACCUGACUGUAAGUAUUGUAUUUCUGGUGGCGCUCAGGCUCCCAAGAAGACUCAAAGCUGCACUGCACUGGGAAACACUCAAGCGCACAAGUAAGAAAGCAUGGCACCAUGGAAAGCUUCAGCACCCAGAACUGAAUAAUGAGGCCCAAAAAAAUAAAGUUGUCUUCUCACACAGUUGAGUCAGUUCAAUGUUGGGCAGGCUUUGGCAUUUUCUCUGAGCUGAAGUAAGGAAAUAGAGGCCGUGAUUCCAUGGUAGAAAUCUAGGAUGCUUUUCUGUUUUAAGUGGAGCCCAGGCACAUGUUUUGUUACUGGUUGUGGGGGGGGUUUUUUCCCCCCUCCAAACUCUGUCCAAAAGCAGGAGGCAGAACUCUGGUUUUGUAAGAACUGACUAUGAGGAGCAAAGUCCCGGAGUAGAAAGCAAGCUUGGUUAACGGAAAUAAUCCACGGCCGUGGUGGGAGGCAGGGAGCUCAGUCUCGCUGUGCAAAUGGUGGUGUAAAUAUCCAUUCCAAAGCCAGGGGUGACCCAAUGGCCAACUCCAACUGUGCCUUUGGGUGCUUACAGUGCUGAUUAAAAAAAAAAAAAGCAAAACAGUUUUUAUAGCACUAGACAAUGUAACAAGCUAUCAUGACUUAGAAAUAGAAUGGUUCAGGCUGGAUGUUUAAGGGGAAAAAAUAAUUUCUUCAGGAAGGUGGGAUUGAGCCCCCAGCCAUCAUUACCACGUCUGCCGUCAAUCGACGCUUUCCCUCGGCAUCGUGAAAGCAUCAGGGAGCACCACGAUCAGUUCAUCAGCGAGCAGAGGAAACGUGGGCUUGCCGCUGCUUAUACGCCGAACUGCACGUAAAGGUGCAUCCUCCAUUCCCUGGCAUCUCCCGUGCUAUUUUCUGCUGUCAUGCUACAAUGACCUUAAUAGCGGUAACAUAUGAAGCCUGACGCUACAAAAAUCUAACCCUCGUGCACGUCAUUAUUGGUAUCGUGGGUGCUAAAUUAACCUCGGCCAUCCACUGAAGAAGGCCCUUGGUCUUUUUAAUGACAAACGAAAAACCUCGUGGUACCACCCGCACUUUCAGCUUCCUGCUGGUGAAGUCCUGGCUCAGGUUUCGGUUUAAAUGCCAUCCGCCACACCUUCCUCCCACUGCAGGAAACUGCGAUUGUUAAAAUCGGGGCAUGUUCCUGUUUAACUAAAAGGCUGAGUUCAAAUAAUCCAAAGGCUUUGAUUAUGCCAAACAAAUUCCUGCCCAAGAUGUAGCAAGUCCGUGCAGCUGUAAAUCUGUAACCCCUCGACCUCAACAUCCGUGUAAAUGACGUCUCGGCACAUCACCUCGGGGAGCAGCUGGUAGUAAACGGAAGGAGCAGAGAACGGGGCAAAGGUGGACAGGGGAACGUAAAAUUUCAUAAUAACGUUUGGCACACUGCUCUCCAGCUUACCACCCAAAAGACAUGAAAGUUGCUUUAAAACGCAAAAUAGUGUGGUUUUCAAAAGCUGAUGUGGGAUAGAUCUUUUUCAAAAUGUGAAAUUAAAACUACCUCUUCCUCACGAAACACUGACAACCUCAGCAAAAUGAUGUUUUUCCAAGAAAAAUCUAUUUCAGCGCAGAAUUCCCAGCCAGCUCCGCUCGAGGAAUACCAGCAGAAACAGUAACACGACCGCCAGUCUGCCAGGACCAUUUCCCCUAACCCUCACCACUCAGAGGGUGGUUUUUUUAAUUUUCUUUUCAUCUUAAUGUUGUAAUAGAAAAUCAUCUUUAAAAACCAAAACAACCCUUACUUAACUCUGCUAUAGUAAAACAAUUGUCUACAUUGACUGCAAAUAAAGAAGUAA
This is an RNA transcript of Grus americana (Whooping crane), 5858 nucleotides long. It is a transcript of the gene named CD46 molecule, with no coding region annotated. The record is from RefSeq and is a predicted model, not a curated record. Lineage: Eukaryota; Metazoa; Chordata; Aves; Gruiformes; Gruidae. The transcript is spliced from 12 exons.